This 446-nucleotide ribosomal RNA is filed under the name uncultured bacterium. RNAcentral's name for it is "bacterial SSU rRNA". It matches the Rfam family "Bacterial small subunit ribosomal RNA", at positions 330 to 792 of the family's 1533-position model. The record is from RNAcentral.
GCCAGACUCCUACGGGAGGCAGCAGUGGGGGAUAUUGCACAAUGGGGGAAACCCUGAUGCAGCGACGCCGCGUGAGUGAAGAAGUAUUUCGGUAUGUAAAGCUCUAUCAGCAGGGAAGAAAAAAGACGGUACCUGACUAAGAAGCCCCGGCUAACUACGUGCCAGCAGCCGCGGUAAUACGUAGGGGGCAAGCGUUAUCCGGAUUUACUGGGUGUAAAGGGAGCGUAGACGGCAAUACAAGUCGGAAGUGAAAUACCCGGGCUUAACCUGGGAACUGCUUUGGAAACUGUAUGGCUGGAGUGCUGGAGAGGUAAGCGGAAUUCCUAGUGUAGCGGUGAAAUGCGUAGAUAUUAGGAGGAACACCAGUGGCGAAGGCGGCUUACUGGACGAUGACUGACGCUGAGGCUCGAAAGCGUGGGGAGCAAACAGGAUUAGAUACCCGGGUA